Molecule: ribosomal RNA, 450 nt
Filed under: uncultured bacterium
Lineage: Bacteria
Description: partial 16S ribosomal RNA
Rfam family: Bacterial small subunit ribosomal RNA
Source: RNAcentral
GUGGGGAAUUUUGGACAAUGGGCGCAAGCCUGAUCCAGCAAUGCCGCGUGCAGGAAGAAGGCCUUCGGGUUGUAAACUGCUUUUGUACGGAACGAAACGGCUCUGGUUAAUACCCGGGGCUAAUGACGGUACCGUAAGAAUAAGCACCGGCUAACUACGUGCCAGCAGCCGCGGUAAUACGUAGGGUGCAAGCGUUAAUCGGAAUUACUGGGCGUAAAGCGUGCGCAGGCGGUUUUGUAAGACAGGCGUGAAAUCCCCGGGCUCAACCUGGGAAUGGCGCUUGUGACUGCAAAGCUGGAGUGCGGCAGAGGGGGAUGGAAUUCCGCGUGUAGCAGUGAAAUGCGUAGAUAUGCGGAGGAACACCGAUGGCGAAGGCAAUCCCCUGGGCCUGCACUGACGCUCAUGCACGAAAGCGUGGGGAGCAAACAGGAUUAGAAACCCGAGUAGUCC